Caenorhabditis elegans is the source of this 139-nucleotide non-coding RNA. NCBI's taxonomy places the organism in Eukaryota, Metazoa, Nematoda, Chromadorea, Rhabditida, Rhabditidae. The record is from Ensembl.
UCCGCAUGUUGUGUAAACAGAUGCUUUCGCCGCCGUGGGAAUAAGAAGAAACUAUGGAAUGUGUGCUUUCUUUCUCGAGAGACGAGCAGUAUCUUCACGAACGUUGCGAUUCUCGGAAUCGCUCUGCGCCCACUCAAAU